GAUGUGCCUCCGGGUCCCCCACUCCCCUUAAGUGCACAGGGUCACCUCAGGAUCCUGUGGAGACUUUGUAUUUCUAGUUUCCCAGCUCUGACUCAAUUCUCUGCCUCACCUGUCCUCCUAGGACUGCUCUCUCCCUUCUGUGCCCCUCCCCCGCCCCCAGGGGCUUGUCACCACACCUCAUGCCUGCAUUCCAGGAACUGAGAGCCCCAGCUUGGCCUCACAGGUGUUGUGUAGUAAAUGUUAAGCUGUUUGCUGAAGGAUUGGGGUAAAAAGGGAGAUUAUGCUACAACCCAAAUGGGCAUACAACGUAUAACUGAAUAGUAGAAAUCAUGGAACCUAAAAGUAACUGUUUUUGUAAAUAAGGUCUUACUGGAACGCAGCCUCCCUCACCUACUGUUGGCCUAUUUACAGCUACAACAGCAAAGCUGAGGAGAAACCACAGAGCCCCAGAAACUGUGUGUGUCUUUACAAAACUUAAUUUAAAAACUGUUUCACAAUGCUUUAAGUAGUAUUUAAUUCCUCUUCAUUCCUGCCAGGUUACUGACCUACUAAACACUUUACCAGCUUUCUUCCAAUUUGAGGUACAUUCAUCAGGCUCAGACUCUACUUACCCAAGGAGCUCUCCCCAAAGUGCCCCAGUCCAAAGUGAUGUCAAUCUUUAAAACUCCCUGCACUUGCUGUCUGUAACAUUUUUAAAAUAAACUAUUUCCUUUUAAGAAUAAUAAGUGCCCAUUAAGGAAAAUAUAGAAAAUAAAGAAAAAUAUUAAAAAAUAUAAAAAUGACCUGAAAUAGCCUCCACCCACUGGGUGGUAUGCUUACGCUUGUUUGCCUACAUUUACAUGUUGCAGGGCUAUCCACUGAAAUUGUACUUACUUUAUAAUAUUGAAUUUUGAUUUUGUUUUUACCAAAUGACAACCAUUUCCUUUAUCAGAAAACCUAUAUUGCAUAGUAUUCAACACCAUAUUUCUUGUUUUUGCCUAUUAACACUCUUCUAUUCACUUGGUUAUUCCUACAUUCUACAAACAUGGAUUAGUCACCUUUUUUUUUCAGUUUUUUUUGUUUGUUUGUUUGUUUUUUUAAAUUUCAGAGAGAGAGAGCACAAGUCAGGGGAAAAGGAGAAAGAGUAAUUCAUCCCCACUGAGCAAGGAGCCCGGUGUGAGCUUGUACCAGGACUUUGAAAUUAUGACCUGAACUGUGGUCAGAUGCUUAACUGACUGAACCACCCAGGCACUCCUGGAUUAGUCAAUUAUGACAUGCACCACACUUUGUAUUUAUGGACCGCAGUUUUGGCCAUAAUGUUCUCCAGGAGCAGGGCUGAUCAUCUGUGGCAACAUAUGGUAGACAAGGAAUGACUAAAAAUCUGCACCCUGCGCCCAAGCCAGGUGCAAGGGCCAAGAGGGUGACACGGGUAAAGAGGCAGACUCCAAAGACACAGCUGCACGCUAAAGGACAUGAGAAUGUUCAAAGAUGACACAGGUAACAAAUGAUGUUGGGCAAUCUUGUGAGGUGGAGAGAGAAACACUGAGGGAUCAGGUGGCAGUAAUAAUAGGGGGUGUCAGGUGAGCGGCUGGGCCUCCGCAGGGAUCUGUCCCCUGGUGGGAGGACAGUUAUCCUGGCCUUAAGCAUGGCCAGGGAAGUGUUUGGACAUCUUGGACUAUAUGGUAUCUUCUGCAAAUCGUGACUGCCGUAGGGGCAGGACAUGCUCUCGGAGGCAGAGCCUCGUCCAAACUACCAGCUCCUGUUCACUCUCCAUGCCAUGGCCUGGCUCAGAGAAAAGAGAGUCAGAAAUAUUCUGUGUGUUAUGAGGGACCUCUAUGUUUCUGGAACAAGGCUCUUUCUAUUUAGUUGCUCAAUUGUGAGAACACUUUUCCUUUGGCAAAAAAAAAAA
Mustela erminea (ermine) is the source of this 1888-nucleotide long non-coding RNA. RefSeq lists it as uncharacterized. The record is from RefSeq and is a predicted model, not a curated record. The transcript is spliced from 2 exons. Lineage: Eukaryota; Metazoa; Chordata; Mammalia; Carnivora; Mustelidae.